Molecule: small RNA, 90 nt
Filed under: Flavobacterium circumlabens
Lineage: Bacteria; Pseudomonadati; Bacteroidota; Flavobacteriia; Flavobacteriales; Flavobacteriaceae
Description: Flavo-1 RNA
Rfam family: Flavo-1 RNA
Source: RNAcentral
AUUUACCCGAGUCUGCGUUAGGGAUAGAAGCGAUAUCCUUUUUGUUUUUUCUUUAAAAACAAAAAGAUAUAGCGGAUAGCCCGUUCGCCG